This 254-nucleotide ribosomal RNA is filed under the name uncultured bacterium. RNAcentral's name for it is "partial 16S ribosomal RNA". It matches the Rfam family "Bacterial small subunit ribosomal RNA", at positions 524 to 776 of the family's 1533-position model. The record is from RNAcentral.
UACAGAGACUGCAAGCGUUGUUCGGAUUCAUUGGGCGUAAAGAGCUCGUAGGCGGUGUGUCGCGUCGGCCGUGAAAACCUGCAGCUUAACUGUGGGCGUGCGGUCGAUACGGGCAUCACUGGAGUUCGGCAGGGGAGACUGGAAUUCCUGGUGUAGCGGUGAAAUGCGCAGAUAUCAGGAAGAACACCCGUGGCGAAGGCGGCUCUCUGGGACGGUACUGACGCUGAGACGCGAAAGCGUGGGGAGCGAACAGG